UACGUAGGGUGCAAGCGUUAAUCGGAAUUACUGGGCGUAAAGCGUGCGCAGGCGGUUUUGUAAGUCUGUCGUGAAAUCCCCGGGCUUAACCUGGGAAUGGCGAUGGAGACUGCAAGGCUAGAGUUUGGCAGAGGGGGGUAGAAUUCCACGUGUAGCAGUGAAAUGCGUAGAGAUGUGGAGGAACACCGAUGGCGAAGGCAGCCCCCUGGGUCAACACUGACGCUGAGGAGCGAAAGCCAGGGGAGCAAACGGG
This 253-nucleotide ribosomal RNA is filed under the name uncultured bacterium. RNAcentral describes it as "partial 16S ribosomal RNA". It matches the Rfam family "Bacterial small subunit ribosomal RNA", at positions 524 to 776 of the family's 1533-position model. The record is from RNAcentral.